Homo sapiens (human) is the source of this 7021-nucleotide long non-coding RNA. RefSeq lists it as uncharacterized. The transcript is spliced from 2 exons. Lineage: Eukaryota; Metazoa; Chordata; Mammalia; Primates; Hominidae. The record is from RefSeq and is a predicted model, not a curated record.
UGCACACCUCGGCCUCCCAAAAUGCCGGGAUUACAGGCAUGAGCCACCACGUGGCCUCAUUUGCUCUCUACACCAACCUGCAAUUUACGUUUGAACCCCUGGAGUGGCAGCAUAAUCUUUAUCAGACUUCCCUCCCUCCAGGUCAGGACCCCUUCCCUUCUCCAGGUACCCGCUUCCUACUCCCCACAUGCCACCUCGGCUUCCCCACCUCUCCCUUGCCCCUGUGUCCCACCCACUCCUGUACAGAAUUCUGCUAUCUUAAUCUCUUUCUUUGGAAACUCCUGUCAUUUGUAAUUAUCCCCCAUUUCCUUCCUCUACCUCAGCCUUUUUUUCCCAGGCCACCUUCGCCUUCUCAGCUUUCUUUUCAAAGAUGCUGCAUUUUUUUUCCUCCUUAUUUGGACCAACAUGACCUGACAGGGUGGCUGAAACGGCAUACUGGGGAUAGAAAUAUGUGCCAGUUCCCUCCAUAGGUUUUUGUGUUUUUUUGAAUGGGGCAUUUGCAAUCAAUUUAUGGAGUUUAGCUGAAAGGUUAAGGAGUUUUCACUUAAAAAUCAACCUCCCCAAAGGAAAAUAUUUGGUACAUCUUUUCUUUCAUUGUAAUUGAGGUCUCCACAUGCGCCUAUGCUUAGGAUCUAUUCUGGAAAAGGCUCCCAGAGAAAAACCUGUCUAGUCCAUUCAACUUCUACUCCAGUCUUAUGAAAAUGGAUUUCAUAAACAGUAGAGAACAUAUUUGUCCUUUUAUCUUCUUCAGGAUUAUCUCUCAGAGAAGUGAUGUCAAAAGGAGGUGCUUCUAAUGAUGCCAAAGGUGGGGAUGAGACUAAGCGCGUCAGUUCAAGGGUCCACGUGUAUUUGAGUGCAUCCAGGAGAGGUCUCUAUGGACAUAAAUGUCUAUGGAACAAAACAAGACAAAGCAACCUUGAAUUAUUAGCUGAGACCUAACUCCAAACCGUCCUGCAAACUACAGCACAUCCAGGCUCUAUCUCACGGAGAUUUCCUUUUCUUAAGCUAAGUGGCCCUGAAGGAGUCUGGGGAGGAUGCUGGUGACAUCCCCACCCAGACCCUGUUACUGGGCCGGUGCCCCCACACUCCUGCUGCUCUGAGUGGGGCCUACUAAAAACUCACAGCUCCUGCCUUCUCUAGAGAUUUCACCCACAGGACUUCUUCAGCAAUAGGAGACACUUCACUGGAAACAUACAUGCCCCUCACAACUGUCCCCUGCAGCCUGCAUCCAAUGACUAACCAAUAGGAGAUAUGAGAGGACACCCCUUGUUUCAAAGUCAGACCAACUUUGCCAUGUCAUAUAAGCCAUGCAAACCAGACCAUACAAGCCAUGCCCCGGAGCUCCCUGUGGGAUAAGGCUUAAGCUGGAUCCCAGCUGGGACCACAUUUUGGCCUAGUUCCUCCCUUUCCUGUCCUGCUUUCCUCACUUCCACAAUAAAUCAUGCAUACCCACAUCCUUGUCUCAGGCUCUGCAUUCAGGGAACCAGAUCUAAACCGGACUCCAAUGCCAAGUCAGCCAAGGGAUCUGCCCAUCAAUGUCCAGACCUCAGUCUCAGGUCUUGCCACUGCAGGGUGAGGAAAGAUCCCAUGCACUGAGAGAAGCAGGAGAGACUACAGCAGCAGACGCUUGCCACAGUGCUGUUCUAUACUACUUGAUCCAGAUUUGCUGGAGCUCCUCUGGUGGAGAGAGUCACAGGCUUGUGCCUCUUGGCAGGCUCAAGAAAAAAAGUAUAUCAAAAUGGGAUGGAGAGUGUCAAACAGAAAGAAAGAUGACCUUCUCUGAUGGAGCUGGGCUCCAGGUUCAUAAGAAAACCAAUAGCCCAGAGAUGCAGGAGAGCAUGUCUUUAGGCCCCAGCAACUAUGGAAGCAAGAGAGUUGAAGAGACAUGCAUUAUUUAUUCCUGGCCUUUUAGACAUGCCCAGUGAAUGCUCCAUCUCAUCUAUCAUAAGCGUUUCUCCCCUUUGUGGGUGGAAUAGGGUGGAUGAGAAGGGAUUGAGUGCAGUCUUGGUAGGGAAUGGAUAGAGAAAAGGAGAAGUGAAGUGGUGCUCUCCUCCCAGAGGCCACCUUUACUCUACCUCUCACUUCUUGGCUAUCAAAUUCUUCCUACCCCUCCUCUCUGGGAAGUCUUAGCCCACAGUUGUCUUUUGCUUCUAUCAGCUUCUCUUCCACUUUCCUGCCUGACCCAACUCCUUGUCAUUCAUUCAACAAAUAUUUCCUAAAUGCCCACUGGUCUCUCCUGCUUCUCUCAGCACGUGGGACUUUUUUUCUCACCCUGAAUUGGCACGACCUGAGAUUGAGGUCUGGACAUUGAUGGGGCAGAUCCCUUGGCUGACUUGGCAUUGGAGUCUGGUUUAGAUCUGGUUGCCUGGAUGCAGAGCCUGAGACAAGGAUUUGGGUAUGCAUGAUUUUUAGGGGUUGGGUACUUUUCCGGACAUUGGGGAUUUAUUAGCAAAUAGCUGCCAUUUGUUCCCAAUGGGGAAAGACACAAUAAACAUACAAACAGCUAAAUUGGGCACAUUAGGCUAGUGAUAGGUGAUAUGAAGAAAAUAAAACAAGAGAAUCAUGUACUUAUCAUGCUAGUGUUUGUUUCUGUGAGUCUCAUCUGCCCUGUGAAGUUGCAAGUGCUUCGUGGGCAGAGAUCUCCACUAAUACUUCUUUGCUUCUUCCAAGGAGCCUGGUCCAGAGCCUUAUCUAAGCAUCAUAAGAAAUCAACACAAACUUCAUGAUUUCUGGACAGCAAUUACACUCAGGAUUUUCAACUCUGGACCAGCCUCAGGUUUCACUCCUUUUGCCCUUGGACUUCACCCAUUGUGUGCUUUGUGUGCAGUGGUGUGAAUGCGGUCUCCCAGGGCCUGCGUUUGAGCUGGCUGCUGCUUGCUGGUGUGUGACCUACGCUGAGUCUCGACUUUCAUAGUCUCACCUCCCUUCCGGGAAAGGCAAGGAAGGUGAGAAUGCCCACUCCAAAGGGUUGUGGAGGACAGAAUGGGAUGAUCCAUCUUCUAUGACAAGAGGGUGAUGGACUAAGUACUGAUUAGUGAGAAAGCCAGGAUCAGCCUCAGGGGAUCCACAAGGCGCAUUGGACCCAUGGCCCUGGCCACCUGGUCAGCUUCAAGGGAGUCUUGGCCACUGGUUUUGGUCUUGAUCAAGGUCCUGAGCAUAGGCCUUUAGGAGUCAGCAGAGGAUGUGGGAGAAAGGUUCUCUCCAGCCUUCCUACUGCCACAUAUCAGGAUUCAUCUUUUCUCUCCUCAAACUGAUACCUUCCCAAUGUCCGCAUUUCUCUCCCUACUUAGGCUUGAAACCCCAGGUUUGCCUUUGCUUUUCCUUUUUCUUAUCCUAUUCCUCUACUCAGAAGCCAGGUCUCCCAGGUCCUGUGUUUUGUUUUCUCCAACUCCCAUCAUUUUCUUUCCUUUACUCCUGCCCCGCUUCCAGUUCUAGGUCCUUACUUUGCAUUUUGGGGUGGUUGGUGUAACUUCCUCAUCGGUAUCUCUGACUCCUGCUUCUCCUCUUCACACUCCAUCUGGCAUACUCAGAGAUCCAGCUGAAAAAUAGAAGGACUCUAGGAGAAAAUAGUGCGGACCCCUUUUGCUGGCAUUUUGAGCUCUCUGCUACUGGCCCUCUCUACCUUCGUAGCUUCCAUCUGCCAGGCAGCAGCCAGCUUGUCCACUCACUGCUCCCUGAACGUAUCUGGUGUCUCCCUGCCUCUGAGCUUUUGCUCAUGCUGUUCCUGCUGUUGAGGAUGCUGGAUUUGCCCUGCUCUUCAACACCCAGUUAAGAGGUAGUCCCUGAUGCCACAAUCAGCUGGGAACUCGAUAUCACCUCUGCAAUUUGUACCCCUGAUCUUACACCUUUUGCAUGAUACUUACAUUCAGAUUGAUACUCUAGGAGUUCUUGAUUUUUUUUGUGAUAUUACUGAGGGAGCUUUACUUUUUUAGACCCUGACAUGAGAAUGUCAGCCAUGUUUGUCGAGAAUGUGAGUUCUCUCCAGCAGCAGAUGCUGAGUCCGGUAGAGCUGAGAUGAGGACACCUGACACAACCCAAGUGGGUGUCUGUGGUUGCACUUGAGUGGCAGGGGAUGGAGGAGCAACCAGGGAGAUGGCAAAAUAUGAUGUGUCCCGCUUAAUGUUCCUUCUUCCUGGGAUUCUCCAAAUCUUCAGUAAAGAUAAAAUUCUUGAAGCAAGAAGAAUUUCUGUAGAACCAGAGAAAACAUUGACUCAUGGGUCGGUGGCAUCCCAGGUGACCUAGGAGUGGGUGGGCCAAAGAAACAUGAAGAGCCCACCUGUCAGCUGCCUGCAGGGACUGUGGAGAUGCCUUGGUUCCCAUGAAAGGUGACGAGUGUAGUUUCUGAUGAGUUCAAUGCCAUUUCUUUUGCAGAGUGGCUUGGGGGAACCCAGAUGGCAUCUGGGAUAGAUUUCUCAUCCUGUCUGAGAGAUUCUUGGGGAAGAAUGCUAAAAUCCUUCCUUUUAGUUCCUCUGGUUCGAUGCCUAGCACAGCAAUUGUUGAUUUAAAUAGAGAUACUGAGGCAGGUGGUGAUUUCUUUGCAGGGGAGUACGUGCUACCAGACAGUUUGUUUCUCCUACUUAGUAUUACAUAACGUGCUCUUUCUCCCAUUUUUAUAUAUGAUCCUCACAGUGAGCAUGGAUGAGAGACUUUGUAUACAGAGAAAGAAAAUGGGACUCACAGAGGGUGAAUGACUUCCUGAAGAUCGCACAGUUAGAAAGUGGCAGAGCUGGGACUUAAAUCCAGAGUUCCUGGCUGCAAAUCUAGUGCUUGGUCAGUCUUCCAUACCAGGCAGACUCCUGAGUUCUUAUACAUCAAGUAAGGCUGAACUGGGAGAAUCUGGGAAGCUGGAUUGCAGUGCCCUCUCUAUUAACUCCCAAAGGAAAAUGAUAUAAUUUGAGAGUAUGAGCUGAUGCUAGGACUCUCUCUUCUUUCUUACAUUAUCUUCAUGGAACAUUUUGGUCAUGUACAGAUACGAAAGAGUCCCCAGAAUGUCUUCCAAAGGAAUUUCAGGACCCUAAAGCCUGGAAGCAUCAGAAAACAUUAGUCAUCUGGAUCACUGAACCAGAGCACUGCUUUGAAAUGUAAAGGAUUCCUGCAUGAAUGUCCACUCCACCCAGAAGACCGUCAUUGUUGCUGGUAGAAAUGUCUGCAAGAGAGUGAGUAAGCCCCUUCCUCCUGCUAGACACUUGGAUACUUGGCAGACUUUUGCAAAACCGACCUAACAAGGACCUGGCCCCAGACAGUGGGACAAUGAAGAUUUCAACAUUGUUUAUGACAGCCUGUUGCUGUAUUGUAAGUGACCUCAGUACCCCGCUUCUGAAGGAAGAGUUUAUACGCUAAGAAGCCCGGAAGAUAUGUGGUGUGGAGUGAUGGAUGGAGUGUUUAGGGGUGAGGGAUGGUGAGGAGUUGGGGAGGGGAAGCAGGUGCUGAUCUUGAGGCCAUUUGCAGUGGUGUUGGGACUCAUGCCAAUUAUAAUCCCAAAAGGCAUAAUUGCUAAAGAUCACAAUUUCUAGAGUCUAAAUGCCCUAACAUCUAAAAUCCAGAAAAUCACAAUCCCAAAAGAUUAAAAUCCCUAAUAUUGAAAAUUUGAAAGCCAAAUUCUGGAGGAGGGAUUAAUGCAUUUUUGGUUGUACACAGGAUAGUUGUAUCAUGUUAGUUCCAUCAAGUUAGCUGGAACUAUUACCUUAUUAUUGUCUUGACACAAUUACCAAGGUUAUUGUACCUUGAUAAUGGAUUGGCCAUGAAGUAUGGCAAUGAUAAAAUCUUCGGUUUAAAGAUGCAUCAUUUGUCUGCGUUAGCAUCCUUUCCAUCUAAUGAAAUUCCAGGAGCUUUGAAUGAAUGAAUGCUACAUUUACCUGAAGAAGCCAGCCAUUACUGACUGGCUCAAAAAUAAUUGUGUAUAUGAUAGGAUAAGAAGACACUUAUGCAACAAUGGUGCUGUUUGAUCACCAGUAUUGUUUCUGCCAAAUAUGUGGCCUGUAGAUGAGUGCAUUCCAAAUAGGUACCUGGGUGCCCAAAGUGACAUAGAAACACGGCACAGAAGAUGGAAAAAUCGAAUAGGGAAUGCUCGUCGUGUUGGGGUCUAUUAAAUCACAGAAGAAUUUCAAAAACAGCAGUGCCAUGUAGAAAAUGAAAGUGAACAUAUUCUCCAUGGGGAGCCGUGCCCUAAAAGAAAAAAAAGUAGCUAUUCAUCUCGAUGCAAGACUUCAAAACAUAGUUAAUGAUUGUAAAAGUUGGGCAGCUCUUAUGGACUGUCUCCGUGCAAUUGCCCAUAAUCUGUCCUUGUAAUACACUUUUUCAUGUCAAAGCUUCUUUUUUGUUUUGUUUUAGUUUUUUCUUUUCUUUCUUUUUUAAAGUUUUUUUCCACCACUACUUAAAAUUAUCAGUGUUAUCUUUUACAAUUUGCUAUGUUAUAUAUUUCAUCUUUGCAUCAUUUUCAAUACUGGAGGUAUAGAUUGUGUAAAGGCUUUUUAAAGAGUUCUAAUUCAUUUUAUGUAUUUUUUUUUGAAGAUUUGACUCCAUGAAGGUGCAUUAUCACAAUGUUGGCUUUGUGCGUAAGCAUUAUAUGUGUACGUAAAAAUGUGGAAACUUCCUCAAUAAAUGAGAGAUGUCCUUUUUGUACAUUUGCACUUGUGAAAGGUAAAAUUCUAGAACUCAGCUCUUUGGGUAACUUGCCUGUGCUGUGGUGAUGACCCACUGAGGUUUUUUAACUAUCUUGUCAAAUGACUUAGGUUGUCCAUCAUGAUAUUUCAGUGACUGCAAUUAUAAAGCUGGGUGCACACAAUUACCAACGAUAGUGAUAUGUGUUUAUACAAUUCACUUUUUGACCUGUUUCCCUAUAAAUCUGGCUUGUCUGCUUGUAACUAUUAUACCCUUGUGACUGUCCUAAGCACACUUAAGUGUUUGUGCUCCAAAAAUAUGUAUUCUAUUAUUGGCUAUUUUAAUUGCAUAAAGUAAAUUAUAAAGUAUUCUGUCAUGUUCUUGUAUGUUUCUCAAAUAAAUCCUCUUUUAAAAAUGUAAA